AGAGUUUGAUCCUGGCUCAGGACGAACGCUGGCGGCGCGCCUAACACAUGCGAGUCGAACGAGAAAGUGGAGCAAUCCAUGAGUACAGUGGCGUACGGGUGAGUAACACGUGGAUCAUCUACCUCUUUGUGGGGAAUAACCCUGGGAAACCGGGGAUAAUACCGCAUAAGCCUGAGAAGGGAAAGCAGCAAUGCGCUGAGAGAGGAGUCCGCGGCCGAUUAGCUAGUUGGCAGGGUAAAAGCCUACCAAGGCAGAGAUCGGUAGCCGGCCUGAGAGGGCACACGGCCACACUGGCACUGAAACACGGGCCAGACUCCUACGGGAGGCAGCAGUGGGGAAUCUUGCACAAUGGGGGAAACCCUGAUGCAGCGACGCCGCGUGAGCGAUGAAGCCCUUCGGGGUGUAAAGCUCUUUCGGCAGGGAAGAUUAUGACGGUACCUGCAGAAGCAGCUGCGGCUAACUACGUGCCAGCAGCCGCGGUAAUACGGGGGGGGCAAGCGUUGUUCGGAAUUACUGGGCGUAAAGGGCGCGUAGGCGGCUCGCUAAGUCGGAUGUGAAAACUCUGGGCUCAACCCAGAGCCUGCAUUCGAAACUGACGAGCUCGAGUUCCGGAGGGGAAAGCGGAAUUCCUGGUGUAGCGGUGAAAUGCGUAGAUAUCAGGAGGAACACCCGGUGGCGAAGGCGGCUUUCUGGACAGAAAC
Molecule: ribosomal RNA, 701 nt
Filed under: uncultured bacterium
Lineage: Bacteria
Description: bacterial SSU rRNA
Rfam family: Bacterial small subunit ribosomal RNA
Source: RNAcentral